UGCAAAGUCAGCUGCUCUAGCAGUAGAGUGCCGUUCUACUUUACUACUAACAAUACCUACAUCUGACUUUCAGACUAAGGUGUUUGCUGGAUAAACACCCAACACUUCUUGAUGUGGUUGGUUUACAUUGGCUCGGCUGAUCCUGACGGAUAUUUGUCACAGGAAACCCUGACUCAUCGAAACAACUGGUGGAAUGACACGUCUCAUCACCUACACACCUGUGAAGAACAUCCUUUUGGACUGGAGUUACUGUGACUCGUGAUAGUUGCAGCUGGAAAACUUCGCUGCCUUCUGACUUCCUGGCAUCCCUCUCCAGCAUCCCGUCAUCCAGAUCCUUCCCCACUUCUAUAAUUCAGAUCAGACGACAUGCAGUUUCUUUUCACAACAGGAAAAAAGCACAGCUUUCCAUCCAUGCAUUCCUGUAUUUACCUUCCAAGGCUUAACAAGAAAAAAAAAGAUUUCCUGAAUUCCAACAUCAAAGUAUAGUGUGUGUGUGUGUGUAUACACACAUAUAUACACUGUAUAAUACGCUGAAUCCAUGUGAA
Brienomyrus brachyistius is the source of this 545-nucleotide long non-coding RNA. RefSeq lists it as uncharacterized. The record is from RefSeq and is a predicted model, not a curated record. The transcript has 3 exons. Lineage: Eukaryota; Metazoa; Chordata; Actinopteri; Osteoglossiformes; Mormyridae.